Molecule: transfer RNA, 23 nt
Filed under: Galeorhinus galeus (tope shark)
Lineage: Eukaryota; Metazoa; Chordata; Chondrichthyes; Carcharhiniformes; Triakidae
Description: partial tRNA-Pro
Source: RNAcentral
GAUUUUACCCAAAAUGCCCCCAG